GCUGUCUCUCGUUUUCCAGUGCCAGAGAAUGUGUGCCUUUCGGAAGAAGUCUUUACUCUCCCUCCAGGGAGGAUCCUGGAGGGACACAAACAGAUGGACUCUGCUGGCUAUGGUUUAACAGGACUGGCUUCCAUUUUGAUACGUGGAGUUUAAUACACUGUGGGGACUUCAGGCCAUCGAGAAAUGGUUCGUGCCCAGUGGAAGGUGAUUAUUUUAUUGAUCCUGUUGAUGGUCAUCCCUAGUGAUGGACUAUUCCACUCCAUAUACCGAAGUAUCCUUGUUGCCCAGCCGUUCAAGGGGAAUGCAGGACAGCCUCUAUUUCUUAGUCCAUACAUCAGAACUGGGAAGAUCAA
Molecule: long non-coding RNA, 353 nt
Filed under: Rattus norvegicus (Norway rat)
Lineage: Eukaryota; Metazoa; Chordata; Mammalia; Rodentia; Muridae
Description: long non-coding RNA NONRATT021431
Source: RNAcentral